AAAAUUUUGAAUUUUGAACUGAGCUUUAAUUUUAUUAAAAAAAAUUAUUUAUUAUCUUACAAUAUUAAAAGGGCUUAAGCUCAACUCCUAGCGUGACCACAUCAUUUUAAAAACCACCAAUGAGAAUAUUGUGUUUUCACCACGACAUUCGCUCUUUUAUGGUGGCCUGUUAAUAAUUGGUGUUGGCCCAGUAACCCAAAUCACCUCCCUCAUGACUGUCUAUAUCCUUUUCGCCCCUUUCACUUUCCCAUCUUCGAAAGAACUGCAAUGCCUCGGAACGAUGGAGAUCAUCGCAACCGAUAAGUUUACACCGUGGCCACAUCCAUGCUUACGGCGAUCGUUAACUUAUGGUCAAAGCUGGGUUUCUUGCAUUCUUUCCGAAGACGUGAAGAUCUAUGUUGCGUCGUUGGUGUUAACAAUAAUGUUUCCAUGCGCUGACGUCUGUUCUAUACAUGAUUAGAGGUCCAAGCCUCUUUCUCUCUUCCCCAACCUUCACGCUGUCUUCCUCUCCUGUGGUCCCAGUGGCGGCUCUGCUACUGCCUUUCCCGGCGCCGAUGGGAAAUCUCCUUUAUGGGGAUCGAAGAACGCGAUGCAGUUCUCUCCGGUCUCGUAGACUGAUUAAGAGCAGCGAUGUAGUGAAUACGGGUUCAUGGGUUUCGACCUUGGUUCUGGAUCCGACCCGGUUAUCCAAUCGACGUUUUGUCUCAAGAUGAUAUAUGGUUAUUUUCCUGUCAUUAAACACAACGUGAAGAUGAAGACAUCUCAAAGAUCCAUCAUGAAUUUGUGCGGACGAAACAUAUGCCUAAGAUGAAUCCUCAAAGUUUGCCACUGACUUUAACAAAAAAAGGGUUUAUUAGGUUCUUUGAUUCUCAAUAUUGAUUUAGUCGAUUCAUACUUUUAGCUAUAUAUGUUAAUAAGAAUCUCAGAUUGGAUGCAUAUAAGUUUACUGAUUUGAUUGUGUUUACCCAUUGGCACAUUAUAUUGCCCCUCUUACUUGCCCAGUUAGACAUUUCCAAGAAGCACAUGGUUAAUGAGGUUAUCUAUAUGACUUUUUGCUUUGUUGUUCAUGUUUUUACAGACUUGUGUAUUUCUUGAGAAGUAUAUGAGCUCUAGUCUUGCAGUUUUGAUAUAGUUUUUGUGCAGACAACUAUUUUGGUUGUCGUAAGGUAUUGGUAAGCAAGAAAAUUUCUUUCUGAAUUGCAGCUUUGUGAUAAAUGAUUUGAUCUCUUCGCCAUUUAUAUGAUUUUGCAGCUUAGUAGUAUGGAGAACAAAAAAUAUGUAUACAUGUGUCAUGAUCAAAUGAGAGGUCUGGUGUGAUUGAUGGACUUCUUAUGUUUCAGCAAUGUCAGUUUACAUACAUUUAAGCAAUUUGGGCAGAGAAAAAUUAGAGACAUAGAUGGAUUUUAAUCCUACAAUUCAAAAAACAUCCAGCACAUAUCUAUGUACUUGCAAGCCAACUUCCCCUAGAAAAUUAGAACGUUUCUUAAAGUUUGUCGAUGGUGAUAAUCAUGAAUUUAGGUUGCUCUCUUAAAAUGGGUUUCCAUCGUCUAGCCUAUACAUAUUUUUUUCAUUCCAAGAGAUGUGUAUUAUAUAUCAUAUUUUGGUAUGGUGCAAAUUUUCUGAUGAAGGCAAGCCGCACCAAGAGUUUGUGAAGAGUCUAUGCUCAUACAAAGACAUAUUUGAGCUUAGAAACCGAGUCGAAGCAUUUGCUUUGCAGUAUGAGAUGCAUGCUUCUAGCUAUCAGAGAGAUUGUAUACUUGCUGAACCAAGCAACAUCCGUAUUACACACUUUACAGAGGACUUCUGACUUCUAAGUUUUGAGUAUGAUCACCAUUGAGUCAAACAGUUGCCUCUUUUGAGUCACUCUCAGACUGGACGCUUGACAGUGCUUCCGGCUAUUACUACAACCAGACCAAUGGUCUGCACUAUAAAUUAGAUUCUCGAUUCAAUUAUAGUGACUCGAUUGUUAAAGAAAACGUGGCACUAGGCAACCAAGUGAAGUGCGCCUAGGAUGGUUGGUAAUCUGCUUUAUGGAGUAAGUCCAGUGUCAGCUACACUCUCUGCUGGGAGACGAGAGCUAUAUGCUCUGUUUGUUGAAGAAACUUUGGAUUUAAGAAGUAUCCAUAGGUAAAAGGAAGCCAUGAAAAGUUUCGAGAAAGUCAUCAAAUUCUCUGAAAAACUCGAGUAAACUUUGAAGCAUGAUCUUAACAUGGUUGCUGAUAAGAGAUACAUUGUUUGAGUAUGGUUCUGAUUUCAGUCUGAUGGAAAAUGAACAAGAAGGAAAUGGAUUGACUAGGAGUCUAGGAGAUUCAUCAAGGAGGGAUAUCUUUUUAGUGGCGCAAGAUCAAGAAAUCUGCUUCGGGGAUGUUUCAUAACCGAUGGAAACUUUUAAUGCAAUGCGUGUGCAAGAGUGACAGAGUGAGAGUACAUUUUGGAUUCUAUGCAAUGCAUGUGUAUGAAUGAGAGUACCUUUGUAUAUAUUUUAAAUUCCCACUACUCUAUUUCAUACUUCCUUAGAAUCUAUGGUGAGAGCCAAAUUUUCUUUCA
Molecule: long non-coding RNA, 2547 nt
Organism: Brassica napus (rape)
Lineage: Eukaryota; Viridiplantae; Streptophyta; Magnoliopsida; Brassicales; Brassicaceae
Exons: 6
Source: RefSeq, a predicted model, not a curated record